Molecule: ribosomal RNA, 600 nt
Filed under: Exserohilum rostratum
Lineage: Eukaryota; Fungi; Ascomycota; Dothideomycetes; Pleosporales; Pleosporaceae
Description: partial large subunit ribosomal RNA
Rfam family: Eukaryotic large subunit ribosomal RNA
Source: RNAcentral
UUGCAUAAUUCAAAAGCGGAGGAAAAGAAACCAAGAUUGCCCUAGUAACGGCGAGUGAAGCGGCAACAGCUCAAAUUUGAAAUCUGGCUCUUUCAGAGUCCGAGUUGUAAUUUGCAGAGGGCGCUUUGGCUUUGGCAGCGGUCCAAGUUCCUUGGAACAGGACGUCACAGAGGGUGAGAAUCCCGUACGUGGUCGCUAGCUAUUGCCGUGUAAAGCCCCUUCGACGAGUCGAGUUGUUUGGGAAUGCAGCUCUAAAUGGGAGGUAAAUUUCUUCUAAAGCUAAAUAUUGGCCAGAGACCGAUAGCGCACAAGUAGAGUGAUCGAAAGAUGAAAAGCACUUUGGAAAGAGAGUCAAACAGCACGUGAAAUUGUUGAAAGGGAAGCGCUUGCAGCCAGACUUGCUUGCAGUUGCUCAUCCGGGCUUUUGCCCGGUGCACUCUUCUGCAGGCAGGCCAGCAUCAGUUUGGGCGGUGGGAUAAAGGUCUCUGUCAUGUACCUCUCUUCGGGGAGGCCUUAUAGGGGAGGCGACAUACCACCAGCCUAGACUGAGGUCCGCGCAUCUGCUAGGAUGCUGGCGUAUGGCUGUAAGCGGCCCGUCUU